AACGAACGCUGGCGGCAUGCCUAACACAUGCAAGUCGAACGAGACCUUCGGGUCUAGUGGCGCACGGGUGCGUAACGCGUGGGAACCUGCCCUUAGGUUCGGAAUAACUCCCCGAAAGGGGUGCUAAUACCGGAUAAUGUCUUCGGACCAAAGAUUUAUCGCCUUUGGAUGGGCCCGCGUUGGAUUAGCUAGUUGGUAGGGUAAAAGCCUACCAAGGCGACGAUCCAUAGCUGGUCUGAGAGGAUGAUCAGCCACACUGGGACUGAGACACGGCCCAGACUCCUACGGGAGGCAGCAGUGGGGAAUAUUGGACAAUGCGCGAAAGCCUGAUCCAGCAAUGCCGCGUGAGUGAUGAAGGCCUUAGGGUUGUAAAGCUCUUUUACCCGGGAUGAUAAUGACAGUACCGGGAGAAUAAGCGCCGGCUAACUCCGUG
Molecule: ribosomal RNA, 433 nt
Filed under: uncultured bacterium
Lineage: Bacteria
Description: partial 16S ribosomal RNA
Rfam family: Bacterial small subunit ribosomal RNA
Source: RNAcentral